ACGUACACUCCUGCGGGAGGCAGCAGUGGGGAAUUUUGGACAAUGGGCGAAAGCCUGAUCCAGCCAUGCCGCGUGCAGGAUGAAGGCCUUCGGGUUGUAAACUGCUUUUGUACGGAACGAAACGGCCUUUUCUAAUAAAGAGGGCUAAUGACGGUACCGUAAGAAUAAGCACCGGCUAACUACGUGCCAGCAGCCGCGGUAAUACGUAGGGUGCAAGCGUUAAUCGGAAUUACUGGGCGUAAAGCGUGCGCAGGCGGUUAUGUAAGACAGUUGUGAAAUCCCCGGGCUCAACCUGGGAACUGCAUCUGUGACUGCAUAGCUAGAGUACGGUAGAGGGGGAUGGAAUUCCGCGUGUAGCAGUGAGAUGCGUAGAUAUGCGGAGGAACACCGAUGGCGAAGGCAAUCCCCUGGACCUGUACUGACGCUCAUGCACGAAAGCGUGGGGAGCAAACAGGAUUAGAAACCCGAGUAGUCCCAUG
This 479-nucleotide ribosomal RNA is filed under the name uncultured organism. RNAcentral describes it as "partial 16S ribosomal RNA". It matches the Rfam family "Bacterial small subunit ribosomal RNA", at positions 329 to 799 of the family's 1533-position model. The record is from RNAcentral.